GAUGAACGCUGGCGGCGUGCCUAAUACAUGCAAGUCGAGCGAACAGACGAGGAGCUUGCUCCUCUGACGUUAGCGGCGGACGGGUGAGUAACACGUGGAUAACCUACCUAUAAGGCUGGGAUAACUUCGGGAAACCGGAGCUAAUACCGGAUAAUAUAUUGAACCGCAUGGUUCAAUAGUGAAAGACGGUUUUGCUGUCACUUAUAGAUGGAUCCGCGCCGCAUUAGCUAGUUGGUAAGGUAACGGCUUACCAAGGCAACGAUGCGUAGCCGACCUGAGAGGGUGAUCGGCCACACUGGAACUGAGACACGGUCCAGACUCCUAAGGGAGGCAGCAGUAGGGAAUCUUACGCAAUGGGCGAAAGCCUGACGGAGCAACGCCGCGUGAGUGAUGAAGGUCCUCGGAUCGUAAAACUCUGUUAUUAGGGAAGAACAAAUGUGUAAGUAACUAUGCACGUAUUGACGGUACCUAAUCAGAAAGCCACGGCUAACUACGUG
This 497-nucleotide ribosomal RNA is filed under the name uncultured bacterium. Its description in RNAcentral is "partial 16S ribosomal RNA". It matches the Rfam family "Bacterial small subunit ribosomal RNA", at positions 28 to 507 of the family's 1533-position model. The record is from RNAcentral.